Molecule: long non-coding RNA, 639 nt
Organism: Populus trichocarpa (black cottonwood)
Lineage: Eukaryota; Viridiplantae; Streptophyta; Magnoliopsida; Malpighiales; Salicaceae
Exons: 3
Source: RefSeq, a predicted model, not a curated record
CCACUUUUACUAAUUGUCUGCUGAAUAUUUAAGAUCUGAAAUUCUGAAUUUAAUUAUCUCCAAUCUCCACUUUUCACUCUCCACUCUCUCAGCGCCUCUGGUUUUGCUUCCUAUCGAGAAUAAGUGUUUAAUAAUAGUGGCUGAAGAAAAUGAGGAACAACAUGACGGAGAUCAAUCAGUGGUGGGAUAUUGGGAUGAAAUUAUAAUGCCUGCAGACGAAGAGCCACUGCAUGAAAAUCAUGAAGAAGAUGGUAAAAUCACUGAACUAGAGAGCACUAAUGCAAUCAAGGAUGUAUUCAAAAUUUUGAUACGUGGACUGUCGGUUUGAUGGAAAGUGAUGCAGUGACAGGUUGUGAAGAAUCUGUGACGACAAGAGAACUGGGGAAUGCUUGAUGAUACAUUGCAAAUGUCUUUGUGACAAAGGCUAUCAUAUUCUUCUCCCUAUAAGAAACUGUUACUGCAAACUUAUGUAGAUCAUGACAGAUUAUUGGUCCAAAAUCCUGAUAUCAAGUACUAAUAUACUUCUUUAUUUGUACUACUUGUUCAUUCUUUAGGCUUUCCAUCUUCUUUUAUCUGCAAGAUUCUUUGAGUUGUAGUGUUAACUCUUCAUAUAUAGUCAUAAGUUUCUUUUCUUGAGAA